Molecule: non-coding RNA, 1306 nt
Organism: Lepisosteus oculatus (spotted gar)
Lineage: Eukaryota; Metazoa; Chordata; Actinopteri; Semionotiformes; Lepisosteidae
Source: RefSeq, a predicted model, not a curated record
AACCUUUAAGACUUGCGGCAAAGUGGGCCAAGGUCAUUUCUGGCUCGCCCGACUCUUCAACAGCUGUGUGAGCACCUCCCUAAACUGCUUCGACUGUGAUCGGAGGGUCAGCAGCUCCUGUCCCGGAGAGCCGUAGCCCCGCAGGCUUUUGAAGCAAGUCUCCUGUGGAUAAUGAGCAGAGAUCUGGAAAGCAGGCCCGCCCCACCUCAUUAAGCAACUGCUUGAUUCAUUUAUCGUUGAUUUGAUUCAGUUAAAACAAUCAGAGCUCGGCUGGAUUAAAAUCCCAAGAAGGUGCUGUGGCCCCACGGACCCCCAGGUCAUGAUUAAUUUCACCAGAGUGCAGCAGGCCCUUAUCUGAGGGUUCGUGGUGCUGAUUGGCUGACUGUUAAGCUGGUCUGAUCCUCUCAGAUAAGACCCUGUAGAGAGCUGCUCAAGAACGCAUUUCACAGCUGCAGAGGUGAAAGUCCUAUAAGGGGUCUCCCAGGAUUACCCAGCUAAUCCAGCCUUCCUAAAAUAAGUAGCCAAACGGAUACAGGACGUAAUACAAAGGAAAUGAAAACCGGACUAGCACCAUUUUAUUUAAACAAUACAUAUAUUCUGAAAUAAAUGCAAGUUUACAGGGAUAUUAUUUAGUGUCUGUAACACGUGUUUGAUGUUACAGCUCUCUCAAAAUCGUAUAAAAUCCUAUACUCUGGGCCUCUAAUGUAGCAAGUCCCUCAUUCUUAAUUGCAGACGAGUUAUUUUUUCAUCUGGGACACAUUUUUAAACGUGCUUUCGACUCUUGAAAGGUCAACUGGGAUUUGUAAUUGGUACCUAACCCCUUUCCAGUCUCCCAGUUUCUGGGUUUCAGGAGUGUACCCAUUCAGGUGUGGAAGCUGAAAUUGAACCAACUGGACUUGAGCAACAGGAAAAGACAAAAGCAUCAGCUGGGAGUGCUUUAUACAAUUUAGCCCUGGAGUCGAACCCGUCGGACCACCCCCGAGCCAGCACCAUCUUCCUCAGCAAGUCGCAGACCGACGUGAGAGAUAAAAGGAAAAGCAAUCACAUCAACCACGUGUCUCCUGGGCAGCUGACAAAGAAAUACAGCUCCUGUUCCACCAUAUUUAUUGAUGACAGCACAGUCAGCCAGCCUAAUUUAAAAAGCACAAUAAAAUGUGUUACGUUAGCAAUAUACUACCAUAUAAAAAACAGGUAAGGCUGGUCUCUGUGUUCUUCCACUUCCUUCGCCUGCACGCGAUACCGAUUGAUUCUGGCCGAUGCGCGGGUCUUGAAUUUGGUCUCCGCGCCGCGCCUUCUGCGUUUCUCC